UAGGGAAUCUUCGGCAAUGGGGGGAACCCUGACCGAGCAACGCCGCGUGAGUGAAGAAGGUUUUCGGAUCGUAAAGCUCCGUUGUUAAGGAAGAACGAGUGUGAGAAUGGAAAGUUCAUACUGUGACGGUACUUAACCAGAAAGGGACGGCUAACUACGUGCCAGCAGCCGCGGUAAUACGUAGGUCCCGAGCGUUGUCCGGAUUUAUUGGGCGUAAAGCGAGCGCAGGCGGUUAGAUAAGUCUGAAGUUAAAGGCAGUGGCUCAACCAUUGUAGGCUUUGGAAACUGUUUAACUUGAGUGCAGAAGGGGAGAGUGGAAUUCCAUGUGUAGCGGUGAAAUGCGUAGAUAUAUGGAGGAACACCGGUGGCGAAAGCGGCUCUCUGGUCUGUAACUGACGCUGAGGCUCGAAAGCGUGGGGAGCGAACAGG
This 429-nucleotide ribosomal RNA is filed under the name Bacteroidota bacterium. Its description in RNAcentral is "Bacteroidetes bacterium partial 16S ribosomal RNA". It matches the Rfam family "Bacterial small subunit ribosomal RNA", at positions 355 to 776 of the family's 1533-position model. The record is from RNAcentral. Lineage: Bacteria; Pseudomonadati; Bacteroidota.